AAGGAACUUAUAUAGCAAGUACCUUGAAAAGCACAUCAGGAAUCGAAGAGCUUUGUGCACUGAUAUAUGACCUCAGAGUAUACGAAAUGCUGUCAGAUGAUAAUAUUGAGAUUGAUUACGAGGUUUCCAGUAAUGAGACAUGUAACGUGACCUUUAUCUGCAUAGUGAGGACAUCAGAUGUGACCAUUACCUGGGAGAGUUCAACUAACACUGAUGUAAAUGUGACCAGUAAUGUUGUACAUGUACAAGACCCUGAUCUAAAAGUUAUCUACACCUGUACAGCCUGGAACCCCAUCAGUAGCGUCUCCAAAUCUGUGACCCCCUGGAAGUACUGCAAGAUAGGGAGACAACAGAUAUCAGAAGACUACAAAGACAUGAACAUAAUACGGCUGAAGUUGGCUGGUUUCCUAUUGAUAAUCACUUGCUUUAUUCUUGGCCAUCACAUUAAAACAGAGGUGGUGGUGUCCUCAACAGACAACAAAUGAAGGAUCUGCAAGGGUCAGGUCUGGACUUCAAGAACAGAAGUAAUGGGUUCUACAAACCACCUUCUGAGCUUCUGGACUUAGACUUCAUCUUGGACAGAGCUUAUAUGUUUAUUGUAUUAAAAAAUGUUUUUUGUUUUUUUGCAUUUUCUUCAGACAGGUCUCGUUUAAGAUAAUCAGACUAACAAUGGAAGCAGGACAAAAAGUUACAAAAGCAGACUCUAUUAUAAUCAGAAAAUCCAAAAAGUUUCAAAGGAAUUGUUUGGGCCAGUAUUUCAGAAACGACACUACCUUAAUCAGUAGUUGUAUCUGCUAGUGGUAGUGUAUUACAUCUCAGCCAUUUAAAAA
Long non-coding RNA from Bufo bufo (common toad), 830 nucleotides. RefSeq lists it as uncharacterized. Lineage: Eukaryota; Metazoa; Chordata; Amphibia; Anura; Bufonidae. The record is from RefSeq and is a predicted model, not a curated record. The transcript is spliced from 4 exons.